UCUUCAUUUUACGUGCUCUUUCACCGGUGAGAGUGACGAGAGAGUGUGCGAAAUGAAGAGA
Molecule: microRNA precursor, 61 nt
Filed under: Pristionchus pacificus
Lineage: Eukaryota; Metazoa; Nematoda; Chromadorea; Rhabditida; Neodiplogasteridae
Description: mir-8364 microRNA precursor family
Rfam family: mir-8364 microRNA precursor family
Source: Rfam by way of RNAcentral